Molecule: ribosomal RNA, 372 nt
Filed under: uncultured organism
Description: partial 16S ribosomal RNA
Rfam family: Bacterial small subunit ribosomal RNA
Source: RNAcentral
GGGAGGGGUGCAAGCGUUGUUCGGAAUUAUUGGGCGUAAAGCGCGUGUAGGCGGUUAUCUAAGUCUGAUGUGAAAGCCCGGGGCUUAACCCCGGAAGUGCAUUGGAUACUGGAUAACUAGAGGACGAGAGAGGGAAGUGGAAUUCCUGGUGUAGGGGUGAAAUCCGUAGAUAUCAGGAGGAACAUCGGAGGCGAAGGCGGCUUCCUGGCUCGUAACUGACGCUGAGACGCGAAAGCGUGGGUAGCAAACAGGAUUGAUACCCUGGUAGUCCACGCCCUAAACGAUGGAUACUAGUUAUCGGGAUACCUAAUAGUCUCGGUGGCGUAGCUAACGCAUUAAGUAUCCCGCCUGGGGAUUACGGUCGCAAGAUUA